Molecule: ribosomal RNA, 119 nt
Filed under: Pteropus alecto (black flying fox)
Lineage: Eukaryota; Metazoa; Chordata; Mammalia; Chiroptera; Pteropodidae
Source: RNAcentral
AUCUACAGCCAUGCCACCCUGAACAAGCCCGAUCUCAUCUGAUCUCAGAAGCUAAGCAGGGUCGGGCCCGGUUAGUACUUGGAUGGGAGACCACCUAGGAAGACCAGGUUCUAUAGGUG